CUCCCUCGUUGCUGAUCCCAGGUUCGAUAGCGCCAAUUAGGCGCCACCUCGCCAAGAACCAGCUUCGGUGAAGCGACGGGCGGUGUGUGCAAGG
RNAcentral lists this ribosomal RNA (94 nucleotides) under uncultured archaeon. RNAcentral's name for it is "partial 16S ribosomal RNA". The record is from RNAcentral.